Molecule: transfer RNA, 71 nt
Filed under: Pseudomonadota bacterium
Lineage: Bacteria; Pseudomonadati; Pseudomonadota
Also listed under: 6 other names
Description: tRNA-Gly
Rfam family: tRNA
About the family: Transfer RNA (tRNA) molecules are approximately 80 nucleotides in length. Their secondary structure includes four short double-helical elements and three loops (D, anti-codon, and T loops).
Source: RNAcentral
GCGGGCAUAGCAUAGUGGUAGUGCGGUAGCCUUCCAAGCUACUUAGACGGGUUCGAUUCCCGUUGCCCGCU